Molecule: ribosomal RNA, 497 nt
Filed under: uncultured bacterium
Lineage: Bacteria
Description: partial 16S ribosomal RNA
Rfam family: Bacterial small subunit ribosomal RNA
Source: RNAcentral
GAUGAACGCUGGCGGCGUGCCUAAUACAUGCCAGUCGAGCGAACAGACGAGGAGCUUGCUCCUCUGACGUUAGCGGCGGACGGGUGAGUAACACGUGGAUAACCUACCUAUAAGACUGGGAUAACUUCGGGAAACCGGAGCUAAUACCGGAUAAUAUAUUGAACCGCAUGGUUCAAUAGUUAAAGACGGUUUUGCUGUCACUUAUAGAUGGAUCCGCGCCGCAUUAGCUAGUUGGUAAGGUAACGGCUUACCAAGGCGACGAUGCGUAGCCGAUCUGAGAGGAUGAUCAGCCACAUUGGAACUGAGACACGGUCCAGACUCCUACGGGAGGCAGCAGUAGGGAAUCUUCCGCAAUGGGCGAAAGCCUGACGGAGCAACGCCGCGUGAGUGAUGAAGGUCUUCGGAUCGUAAAACUCUGUUAUUAGGGAAGAACAAAUGUGUAAGUAACUAUGCACGUCUUGACGGUACCUAAUCAGAAAGCCACGGCUAACUACGUG